Molecule: RNA transcript, 3523 nt
Organism: Cercocebus atys (sooty mangabey)
Lineage: Eukaryota; Metazoa; Chordata; Mammalia; Primates; Cercopithecidae
Gene: DONSON
Gene name: downstream neighbor of SON
Exons: 12
Source: RefSeq, a predicted model, not a curated record
CUGCGCCACGUCGGGGGCGGGCCCGGUGAGCGCGGGAAGGCUCUGCGGGGCGGCCAGCCGUCCUCAGCCGCCUCGCGUCAUGGCCCUAUCGGUUCCCUGCUACUCACCCAGCUUCCGAAAGCCGCCCGAGGUAGUGCGGCUCCGACGGAAAAGGGCCCGGAGCCGUGGAGCUGCCGCCUCCCCGCCCGGUGAGCUGCCGGAGCCGGCGGCCCGCCGAGCCGCCCUGGCGGCGGGGUUGCACCUUCGCCCUUUCCCUGCCGCGGGGGGCAGAGGCGGUGGCGGCGGCCCGGCCGCUGCCCGGAGGAACCCUUUCGCCCGCCUGGACAACCGACCGCGGGUCGCCGCGGAGCUCCCCGACGGGCCGGCCCGCGAGCAGCCGGAGGCGCCGGGCCCGUUUUUAGAUUCUAAUCAAGAAAAUGAUUUGCUAUGGCAAGAGAAGUUCCCUGAAAGAACAACUGUUACUGAAUUACCCCAGACUUCACAUGUAUCGUUCUCCGAGUCUGAUAUUCCAUCCUCAGAAAAUACUGAGUUACCUGUGGACUGGAGUAUUAAAACCCAACUCCUUUUCACCUCUUCUCAACCCUUUACCUGGGCAGAUCAUUUGAAAGCACAGGAAGAAGCUCAAGGUCUUGUCCAGCAUUGUAGGGCAACAGAAGUUACUUUGCCUAAAAGUAUACAGGAUCCCAAACUCUCCACUGAGCUCCGUUGUGCCUUCCAGCAGAACCUUAUCUAUUGGCUCCACCCUGCCUUGUCUUGGCUACCACUGUUCCCUCGUAUUGGAGCUGAUAGAAAAAUGGCUGGAAAGACAAGUCCUUGGUCAAAUGAUGCAACCCUGCAGCAUGUUUUAAUGAGUGACUGGUCCGUGAGCUUUACUUCUCUAUAUAAUUUGCUGAAGACAAAACUUUGCCCCUAUUUCUACGUUUGUACCUAUCAGUUUACUGUCCUGUUCCGAGCAGCAGGAUUAGCUGGAAGUGACUUAAUCACAGCUCUCAUAUCUCCUACAACUCGAGGUUUAAGAGAAGCUAUGAGAAAUGAAGGUAUUGAAUUUUCUCUGCCUUUAAUAAAAGAAAGUGGCUAUAAGAAGGAGACAGCAUCUGGAACAAGCUUGGGAUAUGGGGAGGAGCAAGCCAUCAGUGAUGAGGACGAAGAGGAAAGUUUUUCCUGGCUGGAAGAGAUGGGUGUGCAAGAUAAAAUUAAAAAGCCAGACAUACUUUCUAUCAAGCUUCGUAAAGAGAAACAUGAAGUACAGAUGGAUCACAGACCUGAGUCUGUUGUGUUGGUAAAAGGAAUCAACACCUUUACAUUGCUCAAUUUUUUGAUUAACUGUAAGAGUUUAGUUGCUACCUCAGGUCCACAGGCAGGACUUCCUCCAACCCUCUUGUCCCCUGUUGCUUUCCGAGGUGCCACAAUGCAAAUACUUAAGGCACGAAGUGUAAAUGUGAAGACACAAGCUCUUUCUGGAUACAGAGACCAGUUUAGUUUGGAGAUUACAGGUCCUAUCAUGCCUCAUUCUCUGCAUUCACUGACCAUGCUGCUCAAAUCUUCACAGAGUGGGUCUUUCUCUGCAGUACUACAUCCACACGAGCCAACUGCUGUAUUUAACAUCUGCCUGCCAGUGGACAAAGUACUUGAUACGGAGGUUGUUCAUAAGGAGCUUACUAACUGUGGUUUGCACCCUAACACUCUGGAGCAACUUAGUCAAAUACCAUUACUUGGGAAAUCAGCUUUACGGAAUGUGGUGCUGAGAGACUACAUUUAUAAUUGGAGAUCCUGAACACCAAACCCAUUUUUCUCAUCAAAACGGCUCCCAUUCCUCCAGUUACCGGGGCUGCUCUUAAGAACUGAUCCUAUCCAAAGAAAGAAAGCUUUAUAAUUAAAUGCUAGGGAGAAAACAUGCCAAUGAUGUGUGACUAGACAUUAAGUUCAUCAAGAUGCUCUGAUGGAAGGAGGCAGCUGUGGAGGUAAAAACAUACCCCUGGUUCAGUUCCUUAUUUGGUGCAGGCCAUGCAGUGUAGAUGUAUAAAGAGAAAGCUGAUGCUUGGAUAUUAACUGCCUUGAUGCUACACACCUAGAAUGUCUUUUACUUACUUCCAGGUUCAUCCGUCCCUCUUUUCCAGGGAACACUCCUAAAAAAAAGGGCAACUGUGCAGAGUACAAUAUAAAUCCCCAGAUAACCCAAGUUUCCAAUUUUGUUUCCAUUCCCUAGUAUCGUCAUCUGUUUCUUUACCCCAAUGUGAAAAAGCUGAUUAAUUUAAUGAGACCACAAUAAUAAACUCUAUUUAUCAGGUCACAUCCAAAUCAUUCCAUUCCAGAAAUAAAAGUUCUUUUAAACCAACUAUUUUAAGUGUUUUACUGAUUAAUGAGAAUACUGAUAAAACUUUGCUUUUUUUAAAAUCUAAAAAUAUACUGCAACAAACUAAAAAGAACACAGAGGAUGUUGGUAUUCCAUGUGUUUUUUAACACAUAGGUGGAUGCUGGACUAUACUAAAGAAGAGCCAAAAUGAUCGUUUGACAGGUUUUCUAAACACAAUUACACAUUUAAUGAAUAGGUAAUCUUUGUGAUAUUUAACAAGAAUGAUACAUGUUAAAUUUUCAGCUGCUAAUGACUUCUACAUAUUGUGGUCCAUGUUUAAUUUUAAAAAGUUUCUUUUUUAGUUGAUACUAGCAUCAAAUAUUCUUCAGUAAUUCUAUACAAAUGAAUCUUUUCCUGUAAGUUCUACUUUUAACUAUAAUUUAAAAUUUGGUCUGAUGAACAUAUCUUUAUUGCAUAGUUUAUCAAAAUGAUUUGCUUCCCAAAGUAUAUCUUAUAUAAAAUAUGAAGUCAAAGUCUUUUUUAAAGGUGCUACUAAAAUUUUAAAAUUAUUUACUCAAAGUCUGUUAACUGCCUACAAGACUGCAAAUACCAGAAGAAAUUGGUUUUAGGGGAAAACCAAUUGAGUCAGUAAAAGAUUCACUUUUUAAAAGUUAUUUAAGUUAUUAACAUAUUUAGAAGUAUUCAAAUAUUAUGGAUCAGCACAUCAUUAGAUAAAGACCACAAUUUUGUAAUGGAAGCACAUUCAGAAGUUUCUACCUAGUAGUGAACAUUGCCUGUAUUAUGUGCCUAUUUUAACACCCAUAAGCUUUAUUUCUAACUUCCUGAAAUAUUGGCUGAAGCUUCAAGACUAAACAGUACUAAAAAAGUAAAACUAAAGAAAUAGAUGUACAUUUAUAAUUCUGCCCAAGAUGUAAGACAUUUUUUCAAAUAGUAUAUAAAUCACUUUCAUACUAACUAUAAUACAGAAGUCCAAGAUUAAUCCAAUCUUUAAAAUAUUUUUCUAUAUAUAUUUUCACCUUUAUUCUAACACCAACUCUCAGCAAACUACAGAAAUUGUAAUUUCUUAAUGAAUCUAACUGUGUACUCACUAUACACAUCAGUGCAACUACUUCCCAAAAAAGGCAGGCAUAGUGAGUAUACAUGUUUCAUAUUAAUUUGUUAGUAAGAUCAACAAAGAUAAAGCUAUCAAAAUUGAAAUAAAUGUUACAA